AACGAACGCUGGCGGCAGGCCUAACACAUGCAAGUCGAGCGCCCUUUCGGGGGAGCGGCGGACGGGUGAGUAACGCGUGGGAAUAUGCCCUUCUCUACGGAAUAGCCUCGGGAAACUGAGAGUAAUACCGUAUACGCCCUGUGGGGGAAAGAUUUAUCGGGGAAGGAUUAGCCCGCGUUGGAUUAGGUAGUUGGUGGGGUAAUGGCCUACCAAGCCGACGAUCCAUAGCUGGUUUGAGAGGAUGAUCAGCCACACUGGGACUGAGACACGGCCCAGACUCCUACGGGAGGGAGCAGUGGGGAAUCUUAGACAAUGGGGGCAACCCUGAUCUAGCCAUGCCGCGUGAGUGAUGAAGGCCUUAGGGUUGUAAAGCUCUUUCAGCUGGGAAGAUAAUGACGGUACCAGCAGAAGAAGCCCCGGCUAACUCCGUG
RNAcentral lists this ribosomal RNA (431 nucleotides) under uncultured bacterium. Its description in RNAcentral is "partial 16S ribosomal RNA". It matches the Rfam family "Bacterial small subunit ribosomal RNA", at positions 29 to 507 of the family's 1533-position model. The record is from RNAcentral.